Dermatophagoides farinae (American house dust mite) is the source of this 617-nucleotide non-coding RNA. Lineage: Eukaryota; Metazoa; Arthropoda; Arachnida; Sarcoptiformes; Pyroglyphidae. The record is from RefSeq and is a predicted model, not a curated record.
CCGGUCGGUCAAUAGACAACUGACUGACCACCAAAUAAAUUGUGAUGACCGUUUUAUUGGUUCGAUUCCAGAUUUUCUUUGUCCACUAACAGUCCCAGAUCUGAAGCUAAUCUAUCUAUCACUCAAUCAAACAAGAACAAUUUGGUCAAAGAAAGAAAACGUUCAUUUUAAAUUGACCACAAUUCACCAUAUUAUUGUUUGCUGAUUUGUUCCAGAGAUUGUCGAAUAAUAAUUGACCUCCUGCAGACGUUGAACUGGCAUUGCAUUUGAAAUGGAUUGUUUGUUUUUACUGACUUGAUUUAAAUGUUUAGUAAUCACCAUUUAACACACACACACACACACAUAAUAUACACACAAAAUCGAGAAAACAAGCGAGAGAAAAAUAGUCGAGACCAAAUGUUAACAGAAUCGUGGGUGGUGAUGAUCCGAAUUCAUCUCAACAACAGAGUCGAACAAGCGAAUAUAUUGAAUUGAAUGAGCAAAAACGAAACGAAAACGAAACGAAAAAAGUAAAAAAAUGGUUUUGAUUCACCAUCAAUAUCAUUAUAUGAGCCUUAAAUCCUUAAAGCUUUCUCUUCUUCAUUUGUAAUUUGUGGAUUUCUUGCCCGACUAAAAAC